This is a long non-coding RNA of Dromaius novaehollandiae (emu), 14148 nucleotides long. RefSeq lists it as uncharacterized. The transcript has 2 exons. The record is from RefSeq and is a predicted model, not a curated record. Lineage: Eukaryota; Metazoa; Chordata; Aves; Casuariiformes; Dromaiidae.
CCCCCCAAAAAAAAAAGGGGAUCAUGUUUUUGUCUAACCUUUUCCAGCUUUACUCCUCAAAAGUUGAUCAGUCCCUGAAAAACUUCAAACAAUUCCAGACAAAGACUCUGAGGCACAGAGUUCCCUAGAGGUGAAGCAAAGGCUGUGUACUAGCAAAGCAUCCCAACAGUGGGAACGAAAAGGGCUUAAGAAAAACAUGCCGACUAGAAGUAGAGAUGUGUUCAGACCUGUAACCUUACAGAUUCAGGAAUACUUCAAAGUUGAAACUGGUAGGAUCUGAUUACAUUUCAUCACAGAGGAUAAAUUUAUGCCUGUAAGCCAUAACCUUUGGUCAGUCUUCUCUGUCUCUUCCUAUUGGCUAAGACAUAUAGUUGUGCUGUUCAUCAGCCAUGCAGUCACACUGAAUACAAUUCUUGCUGUUUUUUUUUCUUUUGUUUCAUUGGCUACUUAUAUCUUCAACAAAGAUGGGAGCUAUCCAAAUUGACUGUGUGCUUAUAUACAGAAGACAAGUCAAACUUAUUUUAUGAUAUCCACUGUGCUAAUGCAAGGGAUAGUGGAUGCUCGUGUUGCUGUAAUAACUGGAAAAAGAAUGUAGAACAGGUGUUAUUCACAAAGCAAUAGAAUCCAGAAGGUAAAUGUUCAGCUUUAUUGGCACUGCAGUUGGGCAGCCAUGGUGCAGAACUCUGGGGCUACUUUUAUAUCAGUAAAUAAAAUAGGCCAGGGAGAAGCUUUGGCUUUAUGGCCUGUUGACAUGAGUAAGCUCAGGAUCAGCCAGCUAAACUCUUUAACUCUAUAAAAGUGUGGCUAUCUCCAAACAGCCUGUUGAUUUUUGGGUUAGCUAAGACCUGAAAACUGUGUCCAGGCAUUAUCUGGAAGAGUAUUAUUUUGGACCAAAACUGUACCGGAAAGUGUGCUAAUAAUUCAACAUCAUGGCCUGGCCCUGUUUAGUGUGCUACUAUAGAAGUAGUCAAAGAUGCCAUGUGUUGCACAGAGCCAGAAACCAGUGCUUGCCACUCAGACACUGAGGUAGGCAGCAACGUCAAGAAGACAGCUAAAUAUAACCCUGGGUUCUGCAGUGAUAUAUAUCAUUUUCCUUCUGUGCUGCAGAGCAGAAUGAGCAGACAAACUUUCUGAAAAAAUUUGGAAACAGAUGUAUGCUGUUUCUCCUACUCUCAAAAGUCUGGGAGGGGGCAUUUGCUUUCUGUCAUUCAAAAAUGCUCCUUUUAUCAACGGAAGAGCAGUGUGUGAACAAUAUAUUACAAGCUUGUCAUGAAAAUUCAGCUUCUCAAAACCAAAACAAUAUGAAGCAUUCUCUUUUCCCCAACUUAUGAGAGUUUCAAAUUUCAACCUGAAUGAACAGUUCUGUUUCCCACCCAACCAUAUUUCUUGGACAACUCCUGUAAACCUGAUACAUGACCACUGCUCUUUACGGGAGCUCUUCAGAUUUUCUGUACCAAUCUAUAUCUGUAUUCUAUAUAACGGCGUACACUGAAAUAGAUGCUUGUUCAUAUUGGGAGCCAUGAAACUAUGCAGGUCUGUCUUGUGUGCCUUUAUUGUAGAGGUCACUAGAUAUUACAUCUACCUUCUGCUUUUUUAACACAUGAUCACUGUACUGAAUUAUGAUGGAGUGCUCGGUGCAGGCCAGCUGGUUUCACAGUGAAGAAACUAAAGCUCAGGUUCCUAUUUCACCUGACUGGGCAAACUCCCUCUGGAUCCCCUCCUCAUUUUAUGGUGAGAAUGGGCCAAGAUCUUCUGGCACAAACAAAUUAUUGUGAGAAGACACUGGAAAACAGACAAGUCCUUCAAUUUGUUGUGAAAGACAUAAGUACCUGAGUUGGCUUCAGGACAAGGCACCUCCAGCUUCUACCUAUGAAUCAGUGCACCCUAGGAAGGACUCAGUAAUUUGGCUGCGAAUUUCUUUCAUUGCUGGCUAAAGCUAACCCAGUCACAGAGAUGCUGGUGCCGAUUAUCUAAAUUAUCUGUCUACAAUGAAGAUAGUCUGUUUAGAUUUGAUUUCAGAAAUCAGUUCUUGCCUUUGGGCUGAGAAGAAUUUGGCUGCUGGUCUUUUGAGGUACCUGCAGUAAAACAGAGGAUGUUGCAACCCAAAUUACUGGCUCCAGUUCUUCCUUGAGAGGAGGGAUCUUUCUGCUGGCUGAUGAUACUUAUCCAAGGUGGGGUUAAAACUUUCUUGCAUUCUUAGAUGUGUAAUGUGCCAUCCUAACCAAAGGUAACUUAUUGUUAAAAGUACAGCUUUCCUGGCAAGCGGUGCACAAAAAAAGCAAGGCACAGCUGGUGCUGAAUAAGGCUUCUCCACACUUUUGCAAAACACAGACUGCAGCCCAAGAUGAAGCCACUAGAAAACCUCAGAGCAGGCAAGAUACACAAGACUGUAUAGCCAAUGAUAACAGGAAAGUUUAACACUAGAUCAACACAAGUAUAAUUAGCUGUUUCAAGUGGAGACAUUAUUCUUCAUUUCCUGCCCUCAGCUUGUUGCUCUGAACUGUUAAACAAUAGCUGUGUUUCAUGCAGGAAGGGUAGUAUUUCAGAGGCUGGUGAAAUGGCUCUCCUGCGGGACCAGAUCCAAAGGCAGAUAGAUUCACUGCGAGUGUCACUAGGCUGCUCCAGGUGGGCCAGAACAACCUGACAAACACAGAAAUGGUGGAGAAAGGUGGCUAAGUUGGCAACCAAAAAGACAUUAGCAUUAUUUCAGCAGCAUUUGUAUUCACUUGGUUUCAGUUCUUUUGCCUCACAUAGGCUUCAUAUCUACUGGACUAAAACAUGACCAAAGAAUCCUCUUCCUUUUUUUGGUGAGUUGCAGAUUACUAAUAUGAGGACAGAUUUUACAUUUUUUUGCCUACUAGUCUGUGUGGGCAAUUCUUUUUUCUCCUCACUCUGCCAGUCUCCUUCAUCCAUCUCCCACCUUUCAGUCAUAGUUUUUCAACCAUAUUUCUUUCACUGCUGUGUUUUCUGCUUUCUACCAAGUUUCAGAUGCACUGAGCCUUCUUUCUGUGGACCCAGACCUCUUCCAGUCCCAGCAGGCCUUGGCAAGGAUUACUAGCCUUUGGAGGCAGGCUGGCCACGAUCUAAUUCAAAUUCCUGGGGUAACAGGCAAUCAGGAGCAGCUAGAUCCAGGGAAAAGCUGCCCUCUUUCUUCUGAUGAUAGUUUGUUCUGCAAGUUUUGGCAGAAUCUGAACUCAAUAUUCAAUAAUGAGUCUAAUGCGAAUGCAGUGAUUUUGGGUCUUCCUCCAGGUUCACACCCACUCUGCAAAACCAGCAGUGCCUGGCAUCACUCUGUGAGGUAGGAAAAACAGUUGGGAAAUGUCAGGAUGAAAAGUUUAUAUAAUGAUACCAAUCAUUAGAUGCUUUGUAUAGUAUAUGUGCAGACUGUAGUUAUGCACAUGUGUGUCUAAUCCUUUUGGCUUAACAUAGUAAACAUUUGAUUAUUCCAGCUGUGCCAAACUUUCUGCCAUUUUAAAGCCUAGGGAAAUUCAGGUUAGAUGCUCCAAACACUUAGAAGUUAUUUGAAUGUAUACAUGCUAUCACUGAGACAAAUUUUGUCGAUCUGCAUAUGCAAACAACAUGACAGGCAAAAAGGAUUAGACAUAAUUAUAUGGAAUUAUAUUCUUUUGCUCAUACUCUAUGCCUUUAUUUGUUCUUGAAUGUCUUAUAAAAAAACCACACACACACACACACACACACACACAAAGAAACAAACAUGUACACUAUACAUAAGAACCUGGCAAUCUCCCAAACCACAGUCUAGCAUUUGGCAAAACUAUCAGAUAAGACUGAACAGAAAAACUACAAUGUGAUGAUGAGCUAAUUUUGGAGACAAGAUGUACUAGGAUGACAAGAUCUACUACUAGAUGUAAUAGGGCUCUGAGACGGUAAGUUCAAUUCUUCCUUCUGCUACAGGUUUCAUGUUUUAUAGUGAGUCAUUUCUGAGUCCCAUGCCUCACUUUCCCUAUUCUAAAUAGUAGAAUAAAACUUUUUUUUUUUUUACCAUAUUUUAAUUAGCUUCACUCUUUUAAUAUAAAUAACUCUUCAAGGCAGAAAAUAAGCAGAAUGAGACCUUAUUUGUAACAAGAGUUUCUAGUGCACACUAUUCUCUGAUAAAUAAUAGCAUGUUCAUGCAUUCAGGUGGUACGUAUGAAGCAUUUUUCUGCAGAGGUGUUUUUGUUUUUUGUUAUACAUAACAGUAGGUCACUCUUUCCUUGUGCCAAACAUUUUAUCUUGUCCUCCUUUUAAAAAAUAUACAAAUGGCAGAAUGGAAGGGUUGCAUGGAUGGUGUGGCCUGGGAUAGAUAGGACAGGAAGAUUGUGAAGAAGCUGUGGAAGAUAUAUAAAUGGCUGGGGAGUGUGUGUAAAGACUUUCUCUGCAAUCUUUAAUCUUUAAGUAACAUUAAACUGUCUGCCUUAGGUCUUCUUCAGCUGUAUCACUCUACACAACAGAUGUCGAUCCCGUGAAUCUUUCAAGUGAAGACAUUUCGUGAUUCACAGAAAAUUUAUGAUUAAAAGAUGGUAUAAAGAUGAGAAACCACCCGCCAUUAUGAGCCAUGAUGAACAUGUGUGCAAAGUUAUUGCAAAAGACACUCUGCAUUCUACUCCCAGAAAAGGGAAAAAAUGUUCCCUUUGGUUGGGUAAAAUGUAUAAAUUAAGUAAAGAUGGCCCUCUCCUACUGUUUGAGUCUUUCAUAUCAGUUUACAAGCAGUAAAAUCAUAAGAGCUCAGCAAUGAGUACAACAUUACUUCUACUCAUCUGUCAAUUUCAAGAAAUUGGGGUAUAUAAUUUGUUGAGUAAUCCUUUGAAUUUCCCUUUAAAAAAGAAAUGUGGUAUCACUUGAUGUACCUCUCUAUGACUUUUCAAACUGUAAACAACUCUCAGUGCCUAGCUCUGUUUGGCUAUCUGAAAUGAUAAGGCAGAUAUUUGAAUUAACAAAGAGUUUGUUUAAAACGGCUGUUUUUAUCUAAUGAAUGCUAUGGUUCUUCCCCCUCCUGAGGAUGUAUGGAAAAGGCAUAGAAAUGGUAAAAUUUUCAUGGUGUUACUGGUUUCACUGGGAGAAAGAAGAAAAAAAUGCCAUGUGAAUUAAGUAACUGCCAAAUUGAAGAAAAUUGCACAAUUCUGACUAUUCAUAGCCAUUUCACAGAACAAGAAAACUUAAAAAGUUUUGCUGUGCAUUAGAAAAUAGAGAUAAAAUACCACUUUGCAAAUUUUAUCUUCUUUUUUUCCCCCAAGCUCUCGCUAAAUUAGAUAUUGUCAAAAUGCCAAGAAUUUUUUAGCAAAUUGAAAUCUGACAGCAAAUAUUCGCAACACGUGUGUCAGGGAGCAGCGAGGGCCAGCUGCUCCCGAAGGGACCGGGAACCCAGUAGUGCUUCCCAGCACGGCAGAGGCCUGGCCAGGCAGGAGCAGGGGCUGGAGCUGGUAGCGCUGCGGUAUUGCGAGGCAGUGACUGAUGGCGUGGACACUGUGAUUUUAAUUUUUGAGUUAACUUUGGUCUUUAUCGCUCUUAUUAUACUGACAUUUUCAGUUGAGGUUACUUCUUUUCUUAUUCUGAAAUAUUUUCUUAAUCCUACUGUAAAGUACUGGCAUAACUUGUAGGAUGGAUAAGAGUGCUUUGCACUUCAUUGAUGGACGAAUUAUAGAAUACAAUGAGCUUGGAUGCAAAUACUGAGCCUAUCUCUCUGCUAAAUACUAAAUAAAGCGCAGGCACAGACCAAAACUGUUGCCCAGUUUUGGCUCAGCCAUGUAGCAGUCUCCCCAAAAAGUCCGAACCUCGUGGCAGGGACAGCUCCCAACAGGCAGUUCAGGUGGGGACACCUAGUUUUGGGGGGCACACGAGUGUCACUGCAGGGACGCAAGACAUGUUACGUUGUUUGGCCUCAGGCACAGGAAAUACUGCAUAUCCCAUUUUAUCUACUAGUACAGCUAUAGUUUGAGAGCUUUGCGAUAAUCUUCUUUUGCUAGAAACCUUAUGGGCUUGUUCCUCAGCUGUUCUGAUGGACCUCAUUGACAGAGUAGCUUAAAGGUUUGUCAGAUACUCGGUCUUAUCCAAAGACCCGGGAAAGGUUAGUGGGAAUUUUAUAUUUGGGCUUUUUUUUUUUCUGAAAUAAAUGAGGAAGAUUAACUUCACCUGAAGUUAGCCAUCUACAGACUAUAACAUCUACUCUGAACUCGUCAUCUUUUCAGUCAGUGGGAAAAGACAGGUGCGUCCAAACUAAAAAUAGUCAACUGUUCACUACAGCAUGGCAACACUAAGUUAUUAUAUUCUAUAAUAAAAAAGAAGAGUGAAAAACAGAGGAGCUCUUUACACUUCAAAACCUUCUUUUAAUAAAGCUGCUGUGCACAUCUUGAAGUUCAUAUGUUUCAUAUUCCUAUAAAGGGUGUCCUUGACGUGAUGGCCCCAGGCACUUCUGAAUAUGCUGCAGUUUUAUUCUGUGUGGAUAUGCUACUUUUUAGUGGCAGUUAGCGUUAUGCCCUUGAAUGAAAAGAGAACAACCAAACUACAGACCUUGCCUGGAACAGAGAUUAGGAACGCUAAAAUGUUGUCAGACCUUGGCUACAGUGAAGGAAGAAGAUUAUCUCUAUGGUAAGGAAUUAUCAUGAUGUCCUCUUCUGUUCCACUGAUAAGCUUAAGUGAGGAACCGGUUAAGGACAUUUUUAUUCCAUUUAAGACUUCUUGUAAUAAUUUCUGUAGCCUUUUUGGAUAAGUUGCAAUAUUAAAAUAUAGCUGUUUAUCAGUUAAGGGAACAGAUCUUUCUUUCCUUUUUUUCUUUUUUCUUUUUUUCUUUUUUUUCCUUUGGAUACUCUAGAAGCAUUUUCUCAGGUAUCCUUGUCAGGCAUUUUUAAGAUAGUGCAGAAUUUGCUUGAUCAUGUUCCAACAUGAUUGUUAAAAGAAUGCCUGCCUUUUCUUGGUCAUGCUAUCCUGAGAAUUGUGAAUUGCUCUCCUGGAUCUGGGAUGGUUCCAAAAUAAUUUAAACUGGGCUACAAUCAUUCUUUUGUUAGAAAAGAUGUCUUUGUCCAUGGAUGAUUUGUUUAAUAGCCAACCAGUUCAUAAUUUACACAUUUCCGUUAACAAGAUGGAAAAAGUAGUUUAAAGUUCAGUCUGGUUUUUAUAUACGUUGUAGUACAGAUCUGGGAGACCUAGCUUUUGUCAUUGUCCCUCGGCGUUGCUUAUAGUGUGACUUUUUGUUCUGUCUUGAGCUGUCUCCUUCUUGGUAGUUUACCUUUUGGCAGCAAUACGUUGAAGAACUUAAAUAUCUGUUUACUUUUAUGCACAAUCCUUUUCUAAUAGCUGUUACUGUGCUUGCCCUUCUAUGGAAAGCAAGAUGAUACUAGUGUCUUCUUAGUGAAAGGACAGUAUUAAUUCUUAACGCAAAUAUUAGUCUUAGCAAUUAAGUUUCAAAAAAUCAUCAACAUGAUUGUCAGGAAAUGAGUAACUUAGAAAACUAUAGGUGAAACAUUGCAACACGAAACCCUAAGAUAUCUGUUAAUUCUGAUCCAUUUUGCAUGAAAAUCAAUGACACUGAGAUUCCCUAAGUUUUCUGUAAGGUAGGUAGAGAGAAAUGAACACUUUCAGGGAGUUAUUCGUCAUUAGGUGAGUCAUAGACUGAAAGUACCCAUUUCUUUCCAUUGUCUCAUGAAGGGAAAAGGCUCCCUAACGUAGAAUAGACCAUUGCUUAGUUCAGCUAGAUUAGUCUGGGAGGGCUCCUCUGGCAAUAAACUCCAAGUGAAAUAAUUGGGGCUUCUUAGAGUUAGGAAGGCCAGCCUGUUGAAUGCCAGUGUCAAGGCCAGGGUUUUAUUUAGCAUCUUUGCUUGAUGAGCGCUGGUGAUCUAUAAGUCUUUUAUAAUUUCUUAGAGAUUGACACAGGAUUGCCAACUCUUACAAUUUUUUUUAUUUUUUUUAUGUGGGUAUGGUGAUCUUUGGUAGUUUCUCAUUUCCCUCAUUGCUGAAUUAUAUGAUAUGUAAAUAUGCCAGAAUUCAUUAAAAAAAAAAAAAAAAGAAGAAGCAGCAGCUUUUUCUAGCCUUCAGGACAGCAUAAAAGAAGCUGUGAAAUAGAAACCAUAUUUAAGUAGUAAAGUUGUGAUACUUAAUGUUUUGGAAUAGUUAUGGGGCCUGAAUUAUUACAGCCCCAUCAUAGUUUCAAUCUUCUGAGAAGCACUCCUACUCUUAAGAUAAAUACAUAUUUUAAAAGUGAAAUCUCUCUUCUAUUAGUGAACCUACUGAACUAUUUAUUGGGGAAAAGUUUAGCUAAGUUUCAGGAAAAAAUCCUAAUGUAUAUGGAGGAAACAGAAAAUAUCCUUCCAAUAGUCUCCAUACCAACAGUCUAAUGGUGGGGAGAGUUUCACUGAGAGUUUAAAGCUUUGUGUGAACUUGCUGUUAGAGGCUGUGAGCUACCUUCCAGCUCUUUCAGUAUCAGUUGGAAACGAAAAAAAAAACCUUUAUGAAAGAUUAAAAUAGUGUGCUGAUGUCUUAAUAUUUCAUAUAUCACACCAGUCUUUCAUGGAGGGACUUUUCUAGUUAUAUGAGAAAAAUAAUUUCUUAAAACCUCUCCAAAAAUCAUAAAAAAAGUUUUAAAAUAGUAUAAAACAAUUGUAAAAAUGGCAAAAAUGGUUUAUACUUAUUCACUGCUUUAAAGAACAUUAGUUUAGCAAGGACUGGAUAAGGAAGGAAGAAAGAAAUAAUAACACGAAAACAAAACACUUCAUUUGAAAAGGUGAGUUCCCCUAAUGCAGAUUAUGGUAAGUCUGACUAAAACCUUGAUAUGGUGAAAUUGCAAACAUCUGGAAUCCUCAAAAUCAGUAGGAAAUUAUUUUAACACUGAAUAUGGGAUUCAUUUGCUCAAAUUUAGACAUCUACAAAGUAAACAUCUAAGCCUGAACUGGUUUUCCAGGCUCUAGGUAAUCAAUAAAGAUAAACAGGCUCUUGCAGAGUACAAUUCAUCCCCAUUCUAAAGCAGACAUCUGAAAUGGGCCAGAUGAAUUACUCCCAGAAAAUGUUUAUUUUUCAUUGUUGAACACAAAGACAGACAUGACUGACUGCCUUGGAUGUGCAGCGUAGUCUAAAGUUAGGCAAGACACCUUCAGUACCUUCAGAACUAUAAUAGCAUGUGUGUGAAUAUGUAGAUUGUCUACUCCAAAUUCUGCUAUGGAAAACAGCUGCACCAUUGCAUUUCCUUAAGGUUAGCUUGGUUGCCUUGAAAUCUGUGCAUGUAUGUUCAUGCAUACAUGUAUCUACUUGUGUGCACAUGCAGGAAUGUAUAGUCUCCAUCAGGACUACCAUGUUACAUAAUAUCAGAAAUAAUAUUCUCGAUAACCUGACUCUAUAAUGUCACAUACAAAAACCAAUCAUGUUACUCAGACAGGAUUUUCAAAUUAAUGCUAUGGAGUUAAUCAAGAAAAUUAAUAGCACUGGGGUGGAAAGUUCUUUAACUCUUUUGUCAGCCUGAGCUCCAAAUGAGUGCCACAUCAUCUCUCCCAACUCAUUCCUACAUGUGUUUGGAAAUUAAAAGGAGAUGAGUUCUGCACCAUGUCCAGAAGGUUAGUGAGGUUUAGAGCAUCAAAUGAUAACUUCACUAUAAACAUCUUCUGAUCCACAACAUACAAGGUAAAAUGUGGAAUUAUUUAACCAGUUUAAUUCACUGAUUAUAAAAUUAUGAGAACCAUCCUAUGAGAAAUGGGCUCAUGGAGGUAAGUGGUUGCUUAGCUGUUAGGCAGUGCUUAACAAAACGUGAGAUAUUUGAGGUUCUGCAAUCUGUGUGAAACUCUUUAAUAAGCAGUCAAAUGCUUAGCUUCCAUUUUGUUUGCAUAAAAUCUACUUGGGAAGUGGUGAAGACAAUGCUAAGUGCAGUGCUCACAUUACAAAGACAAAGCUUGGCUUGUGUCAUAUGGCAUAGAUGAAAAAUAGUUCUUGUGACAGUCAUUUCUGUCUAAGACCACCAUCUUACAAACCCCUAUAGCAAGUGCUGAAGCAUUUCCCAUAAGGGGAGCUGAUGCAAUCCUUAGCAUCUCUCCUAGUUGUUUCUAACACACUAGUAUUUUAUAACAAUAUUCUCUUGAAUUUCAGCCAGUAUCCCUAAUCUAUUUUAAACAAUUUCUUUCAUUCUAUUGCACCCACCAGGAUGAAUGUCUAUGGGUAUCAGAUUGCCUUCAUGCCUCCUUCUUCAUGUCCUCAUGACACACAGGACAUGAUCCAGUUUAAGGUCAACAGUGUCUAUAACCAUGCUAUAGUAUCUGAGAUCCCAUUAGUGCUAUUGGAGAACUAAGGCUGAACUCAAUUGCCUAAACCUAAGCAUCUAGCAUCAUUUAAAAUGCCCUGGGUUAUCUAGGACAACUGGACAGGGCUGGAAGGUAUGACACAAGCCCUUUGGGGAAUUGAAGCCUGUUGGAUCACUGGAGGCUUGACAGGACACCUUAAGGCUAAUCAAUAUGUAGUUGAUGCCUGUAUGUAGGCAACUAACCUUGAGCCCUUGCUGUAUGGGAUGUUGUUCACAAACAUAUAAGUUACAUCUAUAUAGGUUGUCUUAUGGAUAGUAUACAGCAUAUAAUAUGUACCUAGGAUACAGGCUAUAUGUAUUUGCCACCAUUCUCAUAGUCCAGCUUGGGCUAGAAGUGGUGGAAUUUGAGCCAAGCAUGGAUCUGUAGCCCAGGGAUUGAAAUCAAUCAGGCAGGAGUUCUGGGUAUGGCCUAAAUGUUAUAGAGGUUGAGAGAAUGAUUUUUCACUGACCUUGCUAUGCUUUGGAUCAGGCCAUCUGUGCAUGAAAUAGCUUCCAGGAUCAGACCUAUCAUGACUUUAAUGUUCACUGCAGAUUUAAUGAAACUGCUUCAGCAACAUAAACUUGACUGUAAAAUAAAGAUUUUAAAUCAGCAUUCGUUCCUUGCAGUGUUUUAUGCAUAUGAUCCACUUAUAAACUUUCAUUAAGGAAGCUGGGUUAAAGCAGUGAGCCCUAGUUUUUAUAAGCUUUGUCUCCUUCAAAUCUUAUAAAAAUAAAUUUAAGUAGCUUACAUAUCCCUAAAUAAACUAUAACAAUAGUAGAGCACAGUUCAGUUAAUUUAGUGUGGUAGAAAAAAUUUCCUUGCUGGUUUUGAAAAUGUUAGAGAUUUGCCGGAUAUAUCAUUACCACCAAGUUGGUACUGACUUGUGGAGGCUAUAAAACAAAUAAAGUCAUUAAAAAUAAUUUGAACAAAAGGGGUAACUUGAUAUCAUAAUGCCAUCCACAUUUGGUUAAAAUGACUUAUUUUAAAGCUCUCUUUCAUCUUACUAAACAGAUUUCCAAAGUUAAAAAAAAUGUGAUUAAUAAAUUAUCCUCCAUAAAUCUUAUGAUAACUAUGAUAGUCUUUGGAGAAUUAUGAAGCCACAUCUGGAAAAAGUAUUUUACUGCCUGUAAAACAGCAUGCCAUGUAUUUUACUAGUGCACAUUAGUAAGUAAAAUACGGUAUAUAAUUUUUGCAUUCAUCAGUGUGAGUGCAAAACACAUCAUUUUCUCCUCCCCAAAACUCUUAGAUUUAUUUCACAGUAAAGGUUUCUUGUAAAGUUUAUAAGGAGCUUGUUUUCUAUUAUUCAUACAGAGAUAUUUCUCCAUUAUAUUAGCUGUAAUUUACAAGAUGAACUGGAGAGUACCUAGCAUCGGAACAGAAGUAAGUAAACAGUAAGAGUAAUAGGGUUCAUUUGUUAUUAUUAUUGCGCCAAGGCUUAAAUGAGCAAGGCCAAGCCACCGAAUAAAUGCCAAAGCACUAAUCAAAAGAGAAAGCAAAUAAGUUAAUUUUCUGCCAUGUAAUCCAACAAUAGCUAUUACGUUAUUCUUUUUCAUUAAUGACAUUUUAAAAUAUAUAGAUUUGAGUUGCAAGUCAUUCAAGAUGAGUGGCUGUAAUAUUUCUGGAAUUAAAAACUUGAUUAAACUUAAGUAUUUCUUAAAUAAAAUGAGCAAUGUUCUUUUAGAGCCAAGUAUGUCCCAGGGAAAUAUAAAACCCUUUCUAUUUCCAAGCAGAUGUUUGCAAUAAGAAAUGGAUGGUGAGCGAAAGGGAAGAACACCAUUAAGCUAAGGUAACCCCUAAAGAUUUUUAUAUAGUUCUGCAAUCAUAUAAGCUCCAUCAGUGAUAAAUAUCACAAUAGUAGUUGUAAUGUACCUGGUUUUAUUUAUGUGUAGAUCCUUGAAUGUGCUUUACCUCAAGUAAUAUAAUUCACUUAAUGACCAUAGAAAAGCUAUAUUUUAAUGUAAAUGAAAGCAACAUAACUUUUUUAACCUGAAAAGGUUCUUUCUCUAAAGAUAAUUUGCAAUAAAUCUGAACAAUAACAUCUGUAAACCUAUGUUUUGUUUUUAGAAUAUAAAUAAGUAAAAAUUCCUGGCUAAACACUUACUAAUGUAUGAGGAUUAGAUUCUGAUAUUCUUCUUUAUUACAAGUGAUAUUUUGCAUAAUCUCAAAAUUAUUAUAGUUGUUUGUAUAACGUUAUUCAGUGUGAGAAUGUGGAUCAUAUUCUGGUUGCAAAAUUCAGAUAACAAAAUCUAAAUCUCUUCUCUUCUGCUUUGAAAUGGCUGUUAUUUUGUAGUAUUAUAUUGCUGAUUGUAGCUUAUUUUUUGAAUAUUCAAAACUGAAAUGGGCUUGCACCUAUUGAUGCUUGUUGCCUUUACCUAAGGCAAAGACUUUGAUUGGUUGUGUGAUUUUUAUAGAGGAUAAUGAAUAAUUCCAGGAUCUCUUCACAGCUAUUAUGAUGCUGUUACAGAAAGAGUUGUCUAAUGUCAAAAUCAGGUGUCCUCAGACAGACUACUGACUGAAAGUCAGCAUUGAUUUAGGAAAUGAACAUUCAGAUAUCAUGACCCUAUGUGUAGAAGCUAUGCACGUAAAUAGACUGGUGCAGUGCAAAGCAUGUGCAACAAAUCCACGCUUGAAUAGCAUGGAGGUAUAUCUAUCUUAGCUUCAUUCAUGCAAAGUCAUCUCAAAGUGAAUGCAACCCACUUGGAAAGACAACUACAGAAUAUGCAUAAGCUGGUCACAUAACUUGCUGUAUGAAUUCCAGUGUGUAAAGUGUCUUGAAAAAACAGCAGUGUGAAAAAAGAUUACUCUGUAUCAAAAGCCUCUCUCCUUACUAACAAGGUGGAGCACAUGCAUACUCUGCAAACUCUGGGUCACAUAUAAGAACACGAAAUCAAAUGCACAAACCAGCCAGGAAGCAUUAAUUGUAGAAAAGGCUCUAGGGACUACAGGGAAGCACAAAACCUACACAUUGCUCUUUGAUGCUACUGCAAAAAAGACACAUCUCAUCUGGGAGUGUGAUAACAGGAGUGUUGCCUGUGAGACAAAGGAGAUAAUUAUUGCUUUCUACUCAGCACUAGGGAAAUCUCAGAUGGAGUACUCUGCCUAGUUUCAGCACCACACUUUAAGAAAAAUGUUGACAUAUUGGAGAGAGUCCAAAGGUGAGCAAAAAACCAAGGGAUUAGGAAAACAUGACCUGUGAGGAAAUACUAAAAGAACCGUUUUUUUAAAAGAGAAGAUUGGAGUUGAGUGGAGUGGGACAUGAACUGGUGACAUGAUAAGAUAUGUAAAAGACCUCAGAAGAGAAUGAUUAUGAGCUAUUUUCCAUGCCUUUCAUGAGUAGGAUAAGAAAAAAACUGACAAUCUGGAAAAGGGAAAAUUCUAAUUGGAUAUUAGAAAAACUUUCAAACUAAUGGAAUAGUUAAGCCCUAGUAAAUGUUUAACUAAUAAAAUUUUUGAAAGUCCAUAAAGCUGUGAGCUCAGUGCAUUAACUCAUGUAAGUACCAACACUUACUGAGGAAGGGUUAUAGAAGAUGGCCUUCUGAGUGGCCUAUGCUGAUUUUAUUUACCUAAAUUUCUUCUGUCAAUACAGUUCAAAAAGAUGUUCAUAUUUACUUCUUUCCAGAACUACCAUGUGAGGAGUCACUGACCUUUGAAAAUUUAUAAUUUUUAGUAUAAAAAAUAGUAAAUGGGAGAUAUUUGAAAAUUCUUUUCUGUGAUAUCUGCUUCUAAUUUAUUUUUUAGCCAGUAACAAACUGGCAGCAAUUGUAUGAACUUUAAAUAUUUGUAAACAAUAUUCCUAUAUUGUUAGUCUUAUUUCUUAUACAUCCUUUCCCUUUAAUGGACUAACUCCAGUUGUGAGAAGUUGUUUUAAGAUGAAAUAAAGUUGCUUUGUUCUGUU